RNAcentral lists this ribosomal RNA (116 nucleotides) under Periophthalmus magnuspinnatus. The record is from RNAcentral. Lineage: Eukaryota; Metazoa; Chordata; Actinopteri; Gobiiformes; Gobiidae.
UUUUGUGGCCAAACUUUCUCGUCAAAGUCUGUUUUUGUUUGAUCUCAGAAGCGAAGAAAGGCAGGACCUGGUUAGUACUUGGAUGGGAGACCGCUGGGUGCUAAGUGUUAUAGUUG